GGAGCGCCUCUGACUGACUUCCCCCAUGUGUCCGUGUGGCCACACCGUGCUACUUUCAGAGGCAGUGGGCUUUUCGCUAAGGGAUAAAAAGAAGUAAAACCUUGCCUUUAGCGCAGCUCUCCUUCACUGGGCAGAUUGCUCUCCCUCCCCACUCUCCCAGGCCCAAAUUGGAUCUCAGCGCCUGGGAGCUCCAACUUUAGCAAGUGCGAAAUCCUGUCUUCGGUUUUGGAAUUUUCAUCCGCACAGACUAUAUCAGCCACGGAUAGGAUAUGUGAGAAUACCAGCAUGUCAAGGCUGGGAAUCAUCCUUAGGCAUCACCUAGCCAGUCCUGCCUCUCAUUUUAAGGAACACCUGGAGAUGAAGACAAGGAAGAUGUCAGUUUCUACAUUAAGUAACAAACUAGAAAGAAAACAACUUUUUUUCUCCUUCACAAAAACAUACCAAAUGGGAACUGCGCAACCAUCUUUGGAGAUGUGAGAGGCUCUGAAAUGCCAAAUCGGUUUUCAGCACGGACCCGGAAGAUGUACUCCUGGCCUGGGAUCAGCUUUCCAACCCUGCAGGAAGUUUUUGUGACUGAAGCUAGAGCCGUGACCCAGUCACCUCGGCUUACAUCACACUUCUCCACUAUAUAAUUGGUGAUGUUACUGCCUCCGUCCUCCAGAGGGAUGUGCCAUGACAGGGAGCAAGCAUCAGCGUCUAUAUCAGAAAUGUCAAAUGGAGGCUGAGGGGGGCCGGGGGCAUCUACAUGAACCAAGAGGAAAGAAAUAGAAUAGACGCCUUGAUGGCUCCUCUGGCAGUUCUUGAUGACCAUGGAUGAGCUAAUGGCUGUGGUCUCAAUGGUGGCUUCUUGAGGAGCAUGCAGAGAAAUUGCUUUAGCCUCUGAUAAAUAAAACAGACUGCGAGGAAAAUUACAGCGAGGAAAUUACAGACAUCAUCUCCUUUGAACAGGGAAAAGGUAACAGGUUGUAAUUGCAGUGGAAGGGGAGACCAAACAUUCAAAGAUUGCUGAAGAGCCAACGAACUCUGAUUCUGUCAAGAUGAUGUCUUUGAUUUCUUUCACAAACUUCAGUGGCACAGCCUUUAGCUGGAAAAUGCAAGAAGACAUAUGUAGAUGAGACAAAGAUAGACCAUGUCUAUACAUGUAUGAAAUGGAUGGGAGACAAAGGAAGCAACACUCAUGAGCCAGGACCAUAAAAGCCACAGAAAUAUAAGAAAUGAAUGGGACUACUCUCUGAUCAUUGAAAAAGAGAGACAGAACAUUCGAUGGAGGCAGAAAGAGCAAGGAGUCAGGCACUUUAAAGACAUCAUUUCAUGAUAAGGAUUUAUUUUGAAGGACAAAAAAAGAGAAACCAAGAAGACCCCACACCCAGAAAGACCAAUGUGUUAACAGUCGCUCAAGACAGAUGGUAUUGCCUCUGAAUUUGCUGAUUCAGAAGAUGUCGGACUCAUGUUAUCCUAUAGAAGAUGUAACAACCCAUAUACAUUUAUGAAAAUCAGGAACUACAUUAUUAUAAUGAUGAAGGAAAAGCCCAAGAAAUCAACCAACCUGAAACCUGCAAUGAAGCUGUGCAGCUGUCUUUGCCAACAGGGUUCUGCACCUCAAAACUGUAUACCCCACUGUCACUCGGUGCUACAUUGAUGAUCUUAAGGCCGGAUACUUUGUUGAAGAAGCUUAUUUUGUAUUUGUUGUCACUUGUUAGCUCUUUUCCAUCCUUAAACCACUUAGUACUGAGUUCAGGGGUGCCAGC
Homo sapiens (human) is the source of this 1748-nucleotide long non-coding RNA. Ensembl annotates it as TTN antisense RNA 1. Its record names the gene TTN-AS1. The record is from Ensembl. NCBI's taxonomy places the organism in Eukaryota, Metazoa, Chordata, Mammalia, Primates, Hominidae.